RNAcentral lists this ribosomal RNA (497 nucleotides) under uncultured bacterium. RNAcentral describes it as "partial 16S ribosomal RNA". It matches the Rfam family "Bacterial small subunit ribosomal RNA", at positions 28 to 507 of the family's 1533-position model. The record is from RNAcentral.
GAUGAACGCUGGCGGCGUGCCUAAUACAUGCAAGUCAAGCGAACAGACGAGGAGCUUGCUCCUCUGACGCUAGCGGCGGACGGGUGAGUAACACGUGGAUAACCUACCUAUAAGACUGGGAUAACUUCGGGAAACCGGAGCUAAUACCGGAUAAUAUAUUGAACCGCAUGGUUCAAUAGUGAAAGACGGUUUUGCUGUCACUUAUAGAUGGAUCCGCGCCGCAUUAGCUAGUUGGUAAGGUAACGGCUUACCAAGGCGACGAUGCGUAGCCGACCUGAGAGGGUGAUCGGCCACACUGGAACUGAGACACGGUCCAGACUCCUACGGGAGGCAGCAGUAGGGAAUCUUCCGCAAUGGGCGAAAGCCUGACGGAGCAACGCCGCGUGAGUGAUGAAGGUCUUCGGAUCGUAAAACUCUGUUAUUAGGGAAGAACAAAUGUGUAAGUAACUAUGCACGUCUUGACGGUACCUAAUCAGAAAGCCACGGCUAACUACGUG